Canis lupus familiaris (dog) is the source of this 97-nucleotide non-coding RNA. The record is from Rfam. Lineage: Eukaryota; Metazoa; Chordata; Mammalia; Carnivora; Canidae.
UGGUGACCUGAGGCUCCCUGGCUGUCACUCUGUCCCAGACCCUCCUGGCCCACGGGGCACAGGCUGAGUCCCAGUAAAGUCUGUGGGGUCCUGACCU